UACGAAGGGGGCUAGCGUUGCUCGGAAUCACUGGGCGUAAAGGGUGCGUAGGCGGGUCUUUAAGUCAGGGGUGAAAUCCUGGAGCUUAACUCCAGAACUGCCUUUGAUACUGAAGAUCUUGAGUUCGGGAGAGGUGAGUGGAACUGCGAGUGUAGAGGUGAAAUUCGUAGAUAUUCGCAAGAACACCAGUGGCGAAGGCGGCUCACUGGCCCGAUACUGACGCUGAUGCACGAAAGCGUGGGGAGCAAACAGG
This 253-nucleotide ribosomal RNA is filed under the name uncultured bacterium. RNAcentral's name for it is "partial 16S ribosomal RNA". It matches the Rfam family "Bacterial small subunit ribosomal RNA", at positions 524 to 776 of the family's 1533-position model. The record is from RNAcentral.